UUAUAACCAUUCUCUUUCCUUUCCCCUUUAGGUUCCCGGAUUUCGCCUCCCCCCCUCUACACACGGCUGUGGGCUUUACCAGCCAGUAUAAGGGAAGCCCCGGAAGGCGCCCGCGUUCCCCUAAGGAACAGGACCGAAGAGAUCACAGGGACACGGGGGGGUGCUGGAGCCUAUCCCAGCAGUCUUCAGGCGGAAGGCAGGAUGCACCCUGGACAGGUCGCCAGUCCACCGCAGGGCAGACAGACAGUCACACCCAGGGGCAAUUUAGCAUGCCCAAUCGGCCUGACUGCAUGUCUUUGGACUGUGGGAGGAAACCGGAGAACCCAGAGGAAACCCACACAGACACGGGGAGAACAUGCAAACUCCACACAGAGAGGACCCUGGCCGCCCGGCCGGGGAAUCAAACCCAGGCCCUCCUCACUGUGAGGCGACAGUGCUACCCACCACGCCACCGUGCCGCUGCAGCAUAAACAUUCACCACGAGGUUCUUCUUGACAUCGGCACAUCCUUUCAGACCCACAGCGCUGAGUCAUCUUCUCACCGUGGAAGGAUAGACAGAAACACCUAUGGAUGUUUUCAGAUCUGAAGCAAGACUGGAGACCUAACCCUAACCCAUGAUCUAGCCCCCUUACCAGUCUUAUCAUGAUAUUUAGAAGUGAAUUUAGCUUUAGUGAGUUUGGCUUCAGUCACAAAAUGUUAUUACCCCAAGAAUUACAGUCCAGUUGGAUGUCUUUAGAAAAAUGGACCUCUGUGAUUGCUCUCAGUGCUUCUUCCUCACAUCCUCAGAGAGUUCUUGAGUUGUGAAUGUGACUUCGCAACCGUUUGAUUACGAUUCUUUUGUUUUGAUUAUUGUGAGAUGAUUCAGAUUUAAGCCAAAUGAAAUCAACACAGCAAGCUAAUUUUUUCAUCUAAAAGUAAUUUGAGAAAAGAAUAAAUUGUGGCCAAAUGCAAGUGCAGUUUUAUUGAAUACCAAAACAUUCUAAUUUCCAAGAUCAAUGCAAUUAAAUUACUGCAUUCAGAAC
This is a long non-coding RNA of Pygocentrus nattereri (red-bellied piranha), 1022 nucleotides long. Lineage: Eukaryota; Metazoa; Chordata; Actinopteri; Characiformes; Serrasalmidae. The record is from Ensembl.